RNAcentral lists this microRNA (21 nucleotides) under Medicago truncatula (barrel medic). RNAcentral describes it as "mtr-miR2619b-3p". Lineage: Eukaryota; Viridiplantae; Streptophyta; Magnoliopsida; Fabales; Fabaceae. The record is from miRBase by way of RNAcentral.
CCAAAGAAUCAAUACAUAGGG